RNAcentral lists this transfer RNA (58 nucleotides) under Leucochloron foederale. RNAcentral's name for it is "partial tRNA-Glu". Lineage: Eukaryota; Viridiplantae; Streptophyta; Magnoliopsida; Fabales; Fabaceae. The record is from RNAcentral.
UAACCCUACCCCCGGGGAAAGUCAAACCCCCCCUGCCCCCUUGAAAAAAAAAAUUUCC